Molecule: long non-coding RNA, 165 nt
Organism: Thalassophryne amazonica
Lineage: Eukaryota; Metazoa; Chordata; Actinopteri; Batrachoidiformes; Batrachoididae
Exons: 3
Source: RefSeq, a predicted model, not a curated record
AGUUCAGUUAUUGGUGUUGUAUAUUUUGUAGUACUGAAGUCCACAGGUUACUUAUAAGUGAGAUGUCUGGCAGUGCCACGUUUGUUAAGAAACACACAAUUAAUGUUAAAGGACAAUUUGUUGUUGUCAACAAGUGAAGUUACAUGAUAAAAUUUCUGUGAAUAA